GCCGACGUAGCUCAGUUGGUAGAGCAGCUGUUUCGUAAAUAGCAGGUCGCCGGUUCGAGUCCGGCCGUCGGCUCCA
This 76-nucleotide transfer RNA is filed under the name Candidatus Dormiibacterota bacterium. RNAcentral's name for it is "tRNA-Thr". It matches the Rfam family "tRNA". Rfam says of the family: Transfer RNA (tRNA) molecules are approximately 80 nucleotides in length. RNAcentral also lists the same sequence under 6 other names. The record is from RNAcentral. Lineage: Bacteria; Bacillati; Candidatus Dormiibacterota.